UUUUCUCCUGGAAACGGGUGGUAAUGCCGGAUGUUCCACAUGAUCGCAUGUGAUUGUGGGAAAGAUUUCAUCGGCGUGGGAUGGGGUCGCGUCCUAUCAGCUUGUUGGUGAGGUAACGGCUCACCAAGGCUUCGACGGGUAGCCGGCCUGAGAGGGCGACCGGCCACAUUGGGACUGAGAUACGGCCCAGACUCCUACGGGAGGCAGCAGUGGGGAAUAUUGCACAAUGGGCGCAAGCCUGAUGCAGCGACGCCGCGUGAGGGAUGGAGGCCUUCGGGUUGUAAACCUCUUUUGUUUGGGAGCAAGCCUUCGGGUGAGUGUACCUUUCGAAUAAGCGCCGGCUAACUACGUGCCAGCAGCCGCGGUAAUACGUAGGGCGCAAGCGUUAUCCGGAUUUAUUGGGCGUAAAGGGCUCGUAGGCGGCUCGUCGCGUCCGGUGUGAAAGUCCAUCGCUUAACGGUGGAUCUGCGCCGGGUACGGGCGGGCUGGAGUGCGGUAGGGGAGACUGGAAUUCCCGGUGUAACGGUGGAAUGUGUAGAUAUCGGAAAAGAACACCA
RNAcentral lists this ribosomal RNA (557 nucleotides) under Bifidobacterium bifidum. RNAcentral describes it as "bacterial SSU rRNA". It matches the Rfam family "Bacterial small subunit ribosomal RNA", at positions 143 to 711 of the family's 1533-position model. The record is from RNAcentral. Lineage: Bacteria; Bacillati; Actinomycetota; Actinomycetes; Bifidobacteriales; Bifidobacteriaceae.